RNAcentral lists this ribosomal RNA (560 nucleotides) under Nakaseomyces glabratus. RNAcentral's name for it is "[Candida] glabrata partial large subunit ribosomal RNA". It matches the Rfam family "Eukaryotic large subunit ribosomal RNA", at positions 89 to 654 of the family's 3401-position model. Lineage: Eukaryota; Fungi; Ascomycota; Saccharomycetes; Saccharomycetales; Saccharomycetaceae. The record is from RNAcentral.
GCGAGUGAAGCGGCAAAAGCUCAAAUUUGAAAUCUGGUACCUUUGGUGCCCGAGUUGUAAUUUGGAGAGUACCACUUUGGGACUGUACUUUGCCUAUGUUCCUUGGAACAGGACGUCAUGGAGGGUGAGAAUCCCGUGUGGCGAGGGUGUCAGUUCUUUGUAAAGGGUGCUCGAAGAGUCGAGUUGUUUGGGAAUGCAGCUCUAAGUGGGUGGUAAAUUCCAUCUAAAGCUAAAUACAGGCGAGAGACCGAUAGCGAACAAGUACAGUGAUGGAAAGAUGAAAAGAACUUUGAAAAGAGAGUGAAAAAGUACGUGAAAUUGUUGAAAGGGAAGGGCAUUUGAUCAGACAUGGUGUUUUGCGCCCCUUGCCUCUCGUGGGCUUGGGACUCUCGCAGCUCACUGGGCCAGCAUCGGUUUUGGCGGCCGGAAAAAACCUAGGGAAUGUGGCUCUGCGCCUCGGUGUAGAGUGUUAUAGCCCUGGGGAAUACGGCCAGCCGGGACCGAGGACUGCGAUACUUGUUAUCUAGGAUGCUGGCAUAAUGGUUAUAUGCCGCCCGUCU